This 491-nucleotide long non-coding RNA is filed under the name Marmota monax (woodchuck). Lineage: Eukaryota; Metazoa; Chordata; Mammalia; Rodentia; Sciuridae. The record is from RNAcentral.
CAACUCAUUCCUGUUAGAAUGGAAAUCAACAAAAAUAGGAGUAAUAAUAAAAAUUGGUGAAUGUAGGGAGAAAAGAACACUUAUACACUGCUGGUAGGAUUGUGAAUUAGUACAACCUGUAUGGACAUCAAUAUAGAGGUUUCCCAAAGAGAUGGAAUUGAACUACCAUAUGACCCAGGUGUACCACUCCUCAGCAUUUAUCCAAAAGAAUUAGCGUCAUUAUAUCUAGUAAUACAUGCAUAUCCUUGUUAUAAUAGCAUAAUUCACAAUAACCAACUAUGGAAUCAACCUCAGUGAUGUUAAUGGAUGAAUGUAUAGAGAACAUGUGGUACAUAUGCACAGUGGAGUUUUAUUCAGCCAUUAAGGAGAAUGAGAUUAUGUCAUUUGCAAGAAAAUGGAUGAUAUUAAGUGAAGUAAGCCAAACUCAGAAUGUCAAGUGUUGUAUGUUUUCUCUCAUUUGUGAAAGAUGAGAACAAGGAAAAGAAAAGUUG